Molecule: ribosomal RNA, 476 nt
Filed under: uncultured bacterium
Lineage: Bacteria
Description: partial 16S ribosomal RNA
Rfam family: Bacterial small subunit ribosomal RNA
Source: RNAcentral
GACGAACGCUGGCGGCGUGCCUAACACAUGCAAGUCGAGCGAUGAAACCCUUCGGGGUGGAUUAGCGGCGGACGGGUGAGUAACACGUGGGUAACCUGCCUCAAAGAGGGGGAUAGCCUCCCGAAAGGGAGAUUAAUACCGCAUAACAUUAUUUCUUCGCCUGAAGAUAUAAUCAAAGGAGUAAUCUGCUUUGAGAUGGGCCCGAGGCGCAUUAGCUAGUUGGUGAGGUAAUGGCUCACCAAGGCGACGAUGCGUAGCCGACCUGAGAGGGUGAUCGGACACAUUGGAACUGAGAUACGGUCCAGACUCCUACGGGAGGCAGCAGUGGGGAAUAUUGCGCAAUGGGGGAAACCCUGACGCAGCAACGCCGCGUGGGUGAAGAAGGCCUUCGGGUUGUAAAGCUCUGUCUUCUGGGACGAUAAUGACGGUACCAGAGGAGGAAGCCACGGCUAACUACGUGCCAGCCGCCGCAGUAA